Long non-coding RNA from Osmia lignaria (orchard mason bee), 417 nucleotides. RefSeq lists it as uncharacterized. NCBI's taxonomy places the organism in Eukaryota, Metazoa, Arthropoda, Insecta, Hymenoptera, Megachilidae. The record is from RefSeq and is a predicted model, not a curated record.
GUAUAAUCCCUCGAAAAUAAAAGCACGUCCAGUUUUCUUGUGUCUGUAGUCAGUGGUGGUUAUAAGCAUCCAAAUUUCAUGUAUUUUCCGUAUUAACAUCAAUUAACAUUAUCCCGAAAGGUUGUUCGGUCUUUGUCUUAGAAAUUGUUAUGAACAGGAGGAGCGUGUUUGUACAAAAAGAAUAUUAGACAAGAGGUGCUUUUUGGAUUGCAGUCUGUCUUUUAAAAAUUGCAAGAAGAUAUAAUAAAACUGUAUGACUGGUAAUAAAACAGUUGUGAUUGGAAUACCAGUUUUGUACUCAUACUUCAAGAAGAGCUACAAUUACAUGUGUUACAAUAGAAAUUGUCUAAAUACAUAAUUGUAAUUAAUAUAAAAAAUUUAAUUGAAAUUAUUUGAAAUACAAAUUUUUCUUUAAAA